Molecule: long non-coding RNA, 709 nt
Filed under: Panax ginseng (ginseng)
Lineage: Eukaryota; Viridiplantae; Streptophyta; Magnoliopsida; Apiales; Araliaceae
Description: long non-coding RNA (PGIN_LNC007687)
Source: RNAcentral
ACAAAGUUCAGCUACUAGCCUCUCUCGUACCGGCAGAAGACUUAAGAGGAGCCGAGGAGGAGAGGCUGGUGCGACUUAAUUCUAUAAGUAAUUAAGAUACACAUAUAUAUAUAUAUAUAUAUAUAGUACAUCCAACUGCCCAUAUAUUUCUUACUAGUAUGGGAGUAUAUUUAUAAAUAGUACUACUACGUGCGCUAGCUAAUAAUUAAGCCAUUCACGGGAUUAUUAUUAAGCAGUGCGCCUGCUCCACCACCGUAGGAAUUGGAAGGCUGGUAGGAGAACUCCAUAACCACCGUCUCCGUGGUGGCAGAAAGUAGCGGAGCCACCUGAAAAACCUGGGACUGUGGUUGAUACUGAUACUUACAUAUUGGGCGUUCUUCUGAAAUAGUAUAAGUAGUACCAGUACUAGUACUAAUACUAUUCCUUCCUUUUCUUCCAAAGCUCUCAAAUCCUAACUUUUUAGCAAGCUUUUCUGCCUUCUGUGUCAUAUCUAUACUUGCAGUAUUUUUUCCCUUAAAACUAUAUAAUAUAAUUAAGCUAUUUAGUAAGUCUAGUAGUGUAUCUUCUUUCUUUGGUUUAUAAGCUAUGGAACAACACCCUUUAUAUAGAAAUUAAGCUUAUUGAGAGGGAAUGACUUUUACUGGGGUAGUUUUGUUAAUUCACAGGAGUAGUAUGAAAAAUCAAAUAAUCGAUAUUAACAUAUCAUUUU